This 380-nucleotide transfer-messenger RNA is filed under the name Bacteroidota bacterium. Its description in RNAcentral is "Bacteroidetes bacterium transfer-messenger RNA". It matches the Rfam family "transfer-messenger RNA". Rfam says of the family: Bacterial tmRNA, also known as 10Sa RNA or SsrA, is named for its dual tRNA and mRNA-like properties. Its role is to liberate the mRNA from a stalled ribosome. The record is from RNAcentral. Lineage: Bacteria; Pseudomonadati; Bacteroidota.
GGGGGUGUAUUGGAAUCGACAGGAAUGUGAAUCUGUAAGUAAGCAUGCCGGAGUAUGAUUGCUCAUCUCCGUUAACAAACGGCAAUCACACCAAUUUAAAUGGCAACUAUCAGUAUGCCAUGGCUGCCUAAUUACUAGGUAAUUAGAAGCCAUUAUGCCGUACGUUUGACGCCUGCUACACAGCGUACCGCGUAUCAACCAACCCGCAGGAUAGCUGACCGGCCUGCCUCGACCGGUUAGUGAAAUUCAGGGGCUAAGGUGCAAGUCAGGUUUUGUCUGUGAACCUACCUUGUACCCGACAAUUCAAUCACAGACUAAGCAUGUAGAAAGCUUGCAGAUGCUUUCUCUGGACGCGGGUUCGACUCCCGCCACCUCCACUA